UGGUGGAGUGAUUUGUCUGGUUAAUUCCGAUAACGAACGAGACCUUAACCUGCUAAAUAGACUCGGGGCCUUAGGGAACCGGCUGUCUUCUUAGAGGGACUAUAGGCGUUUAGCCUAUGGAAGUUUGAGGCAAUAACA
Molecule: ribosomal RNA, 138 nt
Filed under: uncultured eukaryote
Lineage: Eukaryota
Description: partial 18S ribosomal RNA
Rfam family: Eukaryotic small subunit ribosomal RNA
Source: RNAcentral